GGGCGGUUUGCCGGAGGGAGGAGAGCAGCGCAGCGGGAGGCUCCGGAGGUUUAUACUGAGAUGGAUGGCGGAUUUAAUGGCGGCGGAGCCGCGAGGAGGGUGUCGUGGAUCGGGAGAGCCGGGCGGUCGAGGGAUCGGAGGGGGAUUGGCGGCGCACUACGGAGUUUCUUUUCGUUUUUCAGCCGUCGGCGGGUGCUACAGAGGAGCCGGAGCAGUGACGAUCGGAGAAGGGCGUCGUUUAUGAGGAGUGCAAGUGGUGCAGAGCCUGUUUGGGACUAGAGGAGAAGGCCGGAGAAGGUUUGUUAUAUUUUGGAUAUUUUGGUUUUCUGGUUCUGAAUUAUAAGAAUGAGAAGGGCCUGCAAUUUCC
RNAcentral lists this unclassified non-coding RNA (367 nucleotides) under Hevea brasiliensis (rubber tree). Lineage: Eukaryota; Viridiplantae; Streptophyta; Magnoliopsida; Malpighiales; Euphorbiaceae. The record is from RNAcentral.